Molecule: ribosomal RNA, 1363 nt
Filed under: Eurotiomycetes DC485
Lineage: Eukaryota; Fungi; Ascomycota; Eurotiomycetes
Description: LSU rRNA
Rfam family: Eukaryotic large subunit ribosomal RNA
Source: RNAcentral
GGAAAAGAAACCAACCGGGAUUGCCUCAGUAACGGCGAGUGAAGCGGCAAGAGCUCAAAUUUGAAAGCUGGCUCCUUCGGAGUCCGCAUUGUAAUUUGCAGAGGAUGCUUUGGGUGCGGCCCCCGUCUAAGUGCCCUGGAACGGGCCGUCAGAGAGGGUGAGAAUCCCGUCUUGGGCGGGGUGUCCGUGCCCGUGUAAAGCUCCUUCGACGAGUCGAGUUGUUUGGGAAUGCAGCUCUAAAUGGGUGGUAAAUUUCAUCUAAAGCUAAAUACUGGCCGGAGACCGAUAGCGCACAAGUAGAGUGAUCGAAAGAUGAAAAGCACUUUGAAAAGAGAGUUAAACAGCACGUGAAAUUGUUGAAAGGGAAGCGCUUGCGACCAGACUCGCCCGCGGGGUUCAGCCGGCAUUCGUGCCGGUGUACUUCCCCGUGGGCGGGCCAGCGUCGGUUUGGGCGGCCGGUCAAAGGCCCCUGGAAUGUAGUGCCCUCCGGGGCACCUUAUAGCCAGGGGUGCAAUGCGGCCAGCCUGGACCGAGGAACGCGCUUCGGCACGGACGCUGGCAUAAUGGUCGUAAACGACCCGUCUUGAAACACGGACCAAGGAGUCUAACAUCUACGCGAGUGUUCGGGUGUCAAACCCGUGCGCGCAGUGAAAGCGAACGGAGGUGGGAGCCCCCUUGCGGGGCGCACCAUCGACCGAUCCUGAUGUCUUCGGAUGGAUUUGAGUAAGAGCGUAGCUGUGGGGACCCGAAAGAUGGUGAACUAUGCCUGAAUAGGGCGAAGCCAGAGGAAACUCUGGUGGAGGCUCGCAGCGGUUCUGACGUGCAAAUCGAUCGUCAAAUUUGGGUAUAGGGGCGAAAGACUAAUCGAACCAUCUAGUAGCUGGUUCCUGCCGAAGUUUCCCUCAGGAUAGCAGUAACGCAAAAUCAGUUUUAUGAGGUAAAGCGAAUGAUUAGAGGCAUUGGGGUUGAAACAACCUUAACCUAUUCUCAAACUUUAAAUAUGUAAGAAGCCCUUGUUGCUUAGUUGAACGUGGGCAUUAGAAUGGAGCGUUACUAGUGGGCCAUUUUUGGUAAGCAGAACUGGCGAUGCGGGAUGAACCGAACGCGAGGUUAAGGUGCCGGAAUGCACGCUCAUCAGACACCACAAAAGGUGUUAGUUCAUCUAGACAGCCCGACGGUGGCCAUGGAAGUCGGAAUCCGCUAAGGAGUGUGUAACAACUCACGGGCCGAAUGAACUAGCCCUGAAAAUGGAUGGCGCUCAAGCGUGCUACCCAUACCUCGCCGUCGGGGUAGAAACGAUGCCCCGACGAGUAGGCAGGCGUGGGGGUCCGUGACGAAGCCUUGGGAGUGAUCCCGGGUCGAA